This 468-nucleotide ribosomal RNA is filed under the name uncultured bacterium. RNAcentral describes it as "partial 16S ribosomal RNA". It matches the Rfam family "Bacterial small subunit ribosomal RNA", at positions 28 to 507 of the family's 1533-position model. The record is from RNAcentral.
GACGAACGCUGGCGGCGUGCUUAACACAUGCAAGUCGAACGGAAAGGCCCUGCUUUUGUGGGGUGCUCGAGUGGCGAACGGGUGAGUAACACGUGAGUAACCUGCCCUUGACUUUGGGAUAACUUCAGGAAACUGGGGCUAAUACCGGAUAGGAGCUCCUGCUGCAUGGUGGGGGUUGGAAAGUUUCGGCGGUUGGGUAUGGACUCGCGGCUUAUCAGCUUGUUGGUGGGGUAGUGGCUUACCAAGGCUUUGACGGGUAGCCGGCCUGAGAGGGUGACCGGACACAUUGGGACUGAGAUACGGACCAGACUCCUACGGGAGGCAGCAGUGGGGAAUAUUGCACAAUGGGCGGAAGCCUGAUGCAGCAACGCCGCGUGCGGGAUGACGGCCUUCGGGUUGUAAACCGCUUUCGCCUGUUACGAAGCGUGAGUGACGGUAAUGGGUAAAGAAGCACCGGCUAACUACGUG